RNAcentral lists this ribosomal RNA (492 nucleotides) under uncultured bacterium. RNAcentral's name for it is "partial 16S ribosomal RNA". It matches the Rfam family "Bacterial small subunit ribosomal RNA", at positions 29 to 507 of the family's 1533-position model. The record is from RNAcentral.
AGUGAACGCUGGCGGUAGGCCUGACACAUGCAAGUCGAACGGCAGCACAGUAAGAGCUUGCUCUUACGGGUGGCGAGUGGCGGACGGGUGAGGAAUACAUCGGAAUCUACUUUUUCGUGGGGGAUAACGUAGGGAAACUUACGCUAAUACCGCAUACGACCUACGGGUGAAAGCAGGGGAUCUUCGGACCUUGCGCGAUUGAAUGAGCCGAUGUCGGAUUAGCUAGUUGGCGGGGUAAAGGCCCACCAAGGCGACGAUCCGUAGCUGGUCUGAGAGGAUGAUCAGCCACACUGGAACUGAGACACGGUCCAGGCUCCUACGGGAGGCAGCAGUGGGGAAUAUUGGACAAUGGGUGCAAGCCUGAUCCAGCCAUACCGCGUGGGUGAAGAAGGCCUUCGGGUUGUAAAGCCCUUUUGUUGGGAAAGAAAAGCAGCAGGUUAAUACCCCGCUGUUCUGACGGUACCCAAAGAAUAAGCACCGGCUAACUUCGUG